CCAAACGGUUUCAUCUCCUACAUUCAAAGAGAUUGACGCUUCCACGAUGGUUUAUCUAUGAACAGUUACUAUUCUACUUCUGCCAUUCUUAUAAGAAGGAUGGACAAGAAAGUGGAAAAUCAGAGUAUGCAGAGAAACCCAAGACAACUACCCAAGAGGGGAGCCAACAACAAGAGGGUGUCGUAGUCACAGAUGUCCGUCAUUGUUAGAGUAGGUUCUGCUUGAAGGCUGGUGUUUUUCGAGAUGUCGACACACCAGCAGCGGCAAGCAUGGAGGUGGAGGUGGAGGCCGAGAAGACACGGUUGAGAUUAGCCACGAGAACACUGAUGGUUUUGGAAAAUCCGACAAAGAUGGCGAUGCUGAGGGAGAGCAAAAUUUUUCAAAGAUGGAGUCUUGGCUUUCUUCCAACAUGUGAGUCUCUUCUUUUCUUUUUCUUUAUGGCUUUUUGGAGGAUACUGGAUCAAUCUUUUCUCUC
Molecule: long non-coding RNA, 475 nt
Organism: Nelumbo nucifera (sacred lotus)
Lineage: Eukaryota; Viridiplantae; Streptophyta; Magnoliopsida; Proteales; Nelumbonaceae
Source: RefSeq, a predicted model, not a curated record